RNAcentral lists this ribosomal RNA (253 nucleotides) under uncultured bacterium. Its description in RNAcentral is "partial 16S ribosomal RNA". It matches the Rfam family "Bacterial small subunit ribosomal RNA", at positions 524 to 776 of the family's 1533-position model. The record is from RNAcentral. RNAcentral also lists the same sequence under 2 other names.
GACGUAGGGCGCGAGCGUUGUCCGGAUUUAUUGGGCGUAAAGAGCUCGUAGGCGGCUCGUUGCGUCCAUCGUGAAAACUCAGGGCUUAACUCUGAGCUUGCGGUGGAUACGGGCGGGCUAGAGUUCGGUAGGGGAGACUGGAAUUCCUGGUGUAGCGGUGAAAUGCGCAGAUAUCAGGAGGAACACCGGUGGCGAAGGCGGGUCUCUGGGCCGAUACUGACGCUGAGGAGCGAAAGCGUGGGGAGCGAACAGG